Molecule: ribosomal RNA, 420 nt
Filed under: uncultured bacterium
Lineage: Bacteria
Description: bacterial SSU rRNA
Rfam family: Bacterial small subunit ribosomal RNA
Source: RNAcentral
CGGGAAUAUUGGGCAAUGGGCGAGAGCCUGACCCAGCCAUGCCGCGUGCAGGAAGAAGGCUUUCUGAGUCGUAAACUGCUUUUGACAGGGAAGAAUAAGCACUACGUGUAGUGCGAUGACGGUACCUGCAGAAUAAGCACCGGCUAACUCCGUGCCAGCAGCCGCGGUAAUACGGAGGGUGCGAGCGUUGUCCGGAUUUAUUGGGUUUAAAGGGUGCGUAGGCGGCCCGUUAAGUCCGGGGUGAAAGCCCGCUGCUCAACAGCGGAACUGCCCUGGAUACUGACGGGCUUGAGUACAGACGAGGUUGGCGGAAUGGACUGAGUAGCGGUGAAAUGCAUAGAUACAGUCCAGAACCCCGAUUGCGAAGGCAGCUGACUAGGCUGUUACUGACGCUGAGGCACGAAAGCGUGGGGAGCGAAC